AUUGAACGCUGGCGGCAGGCCUAACACAUGCAAGUCGAGCGGAUGAAGGGAGCUUGCUCCUGGAUUCAGCGGCGGACGGGUGAGUAAUGCCUAGGAAUCUGCCUGGUAGUGGGGGAUAACGUCCGGAAACGGGCGCUAAUACCGCAUACGUCCUGAGGGAGAAAGUGGGGGAUCUUCGGACCUCACGCUAUCAGAUGAGCCUAGGUCGGAUUAGCUAGUUGGUGGGGUAAAGGCUUACCAAGGCGACGAUCCGUAACUGGUCUGAGAGGAUGAUCAGUCACACUGGAACUGAGACACGGUCCAGACUCCUACGGGAGGCAGCAGUGGGGAAUAUUGGACAAUGGGCGAAAGCCUGAUCCAGCCAUGCCGCGUGUGUGAAGAAGGUCUUCGGAUUGUAAAGCACUUUAAGUUGGGAGGAAGGGCAGUAAGUUAAUACUUUGCUGUUUUGACGGUACCAACAGAAUAAGCACCGGCUAACUUCGUG
RNAcentral lists this ribosomal RNA (484 nucleotides) under uncultured bacterium. RNAcentral describes it as "partial 16S ribosomal RNA". It matches the Rfam family "Bacterial small subunit ribosomal RNA", at positions 30 to 507 of the family's 1533-position model. The record is from RNAcentral.